Molecule: non-coding RNA, 178 nt
Filed under: Clostridiales bacterium PH28_bin88
Lineage: Bacteria; Bacillati; Bacillota; Clostridia; Eubacteriales
Also listed under: 1 other name
Description: SAM riboswitch aptamer (S box leader)
Rfam family: SAM riboswitch aptamer (S box leader)
About the family: The SAM riboswitch is found upstream of a number of genes which code for proteins involved in methionine or cysteine biosynthesis in Gram-positive bacteria. The SAM riboswitch acts at the level of transcription termination control.
Source: Rfam by way of RNAcentral
CUCUUAUCCAGAGUGGCGGAGGGACUGGCCCGAUGAAGCCCGGCAACCUAUACGAGCGGAAGCAGGAAGUUGGAGGUCGGAAGUCGGAAAUACACCGAUUUCGAGGACCGACGGCUAAUGCUUCCCGGAGUAAAAGGUGCCAAUUCCUGUAGGACCUAUGGGCCCUGGCAGAUGAGAG